GAACAAACAUAAUUGCGGGUGUUAGUUUGGGUCUGGAAUCCACAGCUCUACCUGUCCUUGUCAUAAGCUUGGCUAUUGUUUCUGCUUUCUGGCUUGGUCGCACGUCAGGAUUAACAGACGAAGCUGGAAAUCCAACUGGGGGGUUGUUUGGCACUGCUGUAGCAACUAUGGGAAUGCUUAGUACGGCUGCGUAUGUUCUCACCAUGGAUAUGUUUGGUCCAAUAGCUGAUAAUGCUGGUGGGAUUGUUGAGAUGAGCCAACAGGUGAGGCUUAUGUUUUUGAGCAAAAGCACGAGGUUGUGACUUCUUUUUUUCUUGUAAAUUUUUGUUAGCUUGGUUAGCUCAAUAAGCCUUUUUCAUGCACAGCCUGAAAGUGUUCGUGAGAUAACUGAUGUUCUUGAUGCUGUUGGAAACACUACUAAAGCUACAACCAAGGGAUUUGCAAUUGGAUCUGCAGCACUUGCAUCAUUUCUUCU
Molecule: long non-coding RNA, 475 nt
Filed under: Solanum melongena (eggplant)
Lineage: Eukaryota; Viridiplantae; Streptophyta; Magnoliopsida; Solanales; Solanaceae
Description: long non-coding RNA (SMEL_LNC000099)
Source: RNAcentral